UGGGGAAUAUUGGACAAUGGGCGAAAGCCUGAUCCAGCCAUGCCGCGUGUGUGAAGAAGGCCCUUUGGUUGUAAAGCACUUUAAGUGGGGAGGAAAAGCUUAUGGUUAAUACCCAUAAGCCCUGACGUUACCCACAGAAUAAGCACCGGCUAACUCUGUGCCAGCAGCCGCGGUAAUACAGAGGGUGCAAGCGUUAAUCGGAAUUACUGGGCGUAAAGCGCGCGUAGGUGGUUAUUUAAGUCAGAUGUGAAAGCCCCGGGCUUAACCUGGGAACUGCAUCUGAUACUGGAUAACUAGAGUAGGUGAGAGGGGAGUAGAAUUCCAGGUGUAGCGGUGAAAUGCGUAGAGAUCUGGAGGAAUACCGAUGGCGAAGGCAGCUCCCUGGCAUCAUACUGACACUGGGGUGCGAAAGCGUGGGUAGCAAACAGGAUUAGAUACCCUGGUAGUCCACGCCGUAAACGAUGUCUACCAGUCGUUGGGUCUUUUAAAGACUUAGUGACGCAGUUAACGCAAUAAGUAGACCGCCUGGGGAGUACGGCCGCAAGGUUA
This 549-nucleotide ribosomal RNA is filed under the name uncultured bacterium. RNAcentral's name for it is "bacterial SSU rRNA". It matches the Rfam family "Bacterial small subunit ribosomal RNA", at positions 355 to 896 of the family's 1533-position model. The record is from RNAcentral.